Molecule: ribosomal RNA, 469 nt
Filed under: uncultured bacterium
Lineage: Bacteria
Description: bacterial SSU rRNA
Rfam family: Bacterial small subunit ribosomal RNA
Source: RNAcentral
ACGCUGGCGGCGUGCCUAACACAUGCAAGUCGAGCGAGGAGAUUCCUUCGGGAUGAUCCUAGCGGCGGACGGGUGAGUAACACGUGGGCAACCUGCCUCAUAGAGAGGAAUAGCCUUCCGAAAGGGAGAUUAAUACCUCAUAACAUUGCAGUUUCGCAUGGAACAGCAAUUAAAGGAGUAAUCCGCUAUGAGAUGGGCCCGCGGCGCAUUAGCUAGUUGGUGAGGUAACGGCUCACCAAGGCGACGAUGCGUAGCCGACCUGAGAGGGUGAUCGGCCACAUUGGGACUGAGACACGGCCCAGACUCCUACGGGAGGCAGCAGUGGGGAAUAUUGCACAAUGGGGGAAACCCUGAUGCAAGCAACGCCGCGUGAGUGAUGACGGCCUUCGGGUUGUAAAGCUCUGUCUUCAGGGACGAUAAUGACGGUACCUGAGGAGGAAGCCACGGCUAACUACGUGCCAGCAGCGGC